This 72-nucleotide transfer RNA is filed under the name Candidatus Poribacteria bacterium. RNAcentral's name for it is "tRNA-Gly". It matches the Rfam family "tRNA". From Rfam's summary of the family: Transfer RNA (tRNA) molecules are approximately 80 nucleotides in length. Their secondary structure includes four short double-helical elements and three loops (D, anti-codon, and T loops). Lineage: Bacteria; Candidatus Poribacteria. The record is from RNAcentral.
GCGGGUGUAGCUCAGCGGUAGAGCAUCAGCUUCCCAAGCUGAGGGUCGCGGGUUCAAUUCCCGUCGCCCGCU